CCUACGGGGGGCUGCAGUGAGGAAUAUUGGUCAAUGGGCUUACGCCUGAACCAGCCAAGUCGCGUGAGGGAAGACUGCCCUAUGGGUUGUAAACCUCUUUUGUCAGGGAGCAACGCCGGCUACGUGUAGCCGGACUGAGAGUACCUGAAGAAAAAGCAUCGGCUAACUCCGUGCCAGCAGCCGCGGUAAUAAGGAGGAUGCGAGCGUUAGCCGGAUUUAUUGGGUUUAAAGGCUGCGUAGGCGGAAUGCCAAGUCAGCGGUAAAAUGGCGGGGCUCAACCUCGCUCCGCCGUUGAAACUGGCGUGCGUGAGUGGGCGAGAAGGAUGCGGAAUGCGUGGUGUAGCGGUGAAAGGCAUAGAUAUCACGCAGAACUCCGAUUGCGAAGGCAGCAUACCGGCGCCCGACUGACGCUGAGGCACGAAAGCGUGGGGAUCGAACAGGAUUAGAUACCCGAGUAGUC
RNAcentral lists this ribosomal RNA (460 nucleotides) under uncultured bacterium. RNAcentral describes it as "partial 16S ribosomal RNA". It matches the Rfam family "Bacterial small subunit ribosomal RNA", at positions 338 to 795 of the family's 1533-position model. The record is from RNAcentral.